Molecule: ribosomal RNA, 400 nt
Filed under: uncultured bacterium
Lineage: Bacteria
Description: bacterial SSU rRNA
Rfam family: Bacterial small subunit ribosomal RNA
Source: RNAcentral
AGAGUUUGAUCCUGGCUCAGGACGCACGCUGGCGGCGCGCCUAACACAUGCAAGUCGAGCGGAGAUAGUACUUCGGUUCUAUCUUAGCGGCGGACGGGUGAGUAACGCGUGAGCAACCUGCCCUUGAGCGGGGGAUAGCGUCUGGAAACGGACGGUAAUACCGCAUAAUGUACGUUGGAGGCAUCUCCGAUGUACCAAAGGAGGAAUCCACUCAAGGAUGGGCUCGCGUCCGAUUAGGUAGUUGGUGAGGUAACGGCCCACCAAGCCUGCGAUCGGUAGCCGGACUGAGAGGUUGUACGGCCACAUUGGGACUGAGACACGGCCCAGACUCCUACGGGAGGCAGCAGUGGGGGAUAUUGCACAAUGGAGGAAACUCUGAUGCAGCGACGCCGCGUGAGGG